UGCCUUACACAUGCAAGUCGAACGGUAACAGGUCUUCGGAUGCUGACGAGUGGCGAACGGGUGAGUAAUACAUCGGAACGUGCCCGAUCGUGGGGGAUAACGCAGCGAAAGCUGUGCUAAUACCGCAUACGAUCUACGGAUGAAAGCAGGGGACCGCAAGGCCUUGCGCGAACGGAGCGGCCGAUGGCAGAUUAGGUAGUUGGUGGGAUAAAAGCUUACCAAGCCGACGAUCUGUAGCUGGUCUGAGAGGAUGAUCAGCCACAUUGGGACUGAGACACGGCCCGAACUCCUACGGGAGGCAGCAGUGGGGAAUAUUGGACAAUGGGCGCAAGCCUGAUCCAGCCAUGCCGCGUGAGUGAUGAAGGCCUUCGGGUUGUAAAACUCUGUCCUUAGGGAAGAAAAAAAUGACGGUACCUAUGGAGGAAGCCCCGGCUA
RNAcentral lists this ribosomal RNA (435 nucleotides) under uncultured bacterium. RNAcentral's name for it is "bacterial SSU rRNA". It matches the Rfam family "Bacterial small subunit ribosomal RNA", at positions 45 to 499 of the family's 1533-position model. The record is from RNAcentral.